RNAcentral lists this ribosomal RNA (1214 nucleotides) under uncultured bacterium. Its description in RNAcentral is "bacterial SSU rRNA". It matches the Rfam family "Bacterial small subunit ribosomal RNA", at positions 1 to 1257 of the family's 1533-position model. The record is from RNAcentral.
UUAGAGUUUGAUCCUGGCUCAGGACGAACGCUGGCGGUGUGCCUAACGCAUGCAAGUCGAACGGAGUUAUUUAAGAAGAUUCUUCGGAUGAUUUUUUUCUAACUUAGUGGCGGACGGGUGAGUAACGCGUGAGCAACCUGCCUUUCAGAGGGGGAUAACAUUUUGAAAAAGAUGCUAAUACCGCAUAACGUAUUUUUAACGCAUGUUAGAAAUACCAAAGGAUUUAUUCACUGAAAGAUGGGCUCGCGUCCGAUUAGAUAGUUGGUGAGGUAAUGGCUCACCAAGUCGACGAUCGGUAGCCGGACUGAGAGGUUGAACGGCCACAUUGGGACUGAGACACUGCCCAGACUCCUACGGGAGGCAGCAGCGAGGGAUAUUGGGCAAUGGGGGAAACCCUGACCCAGCAACACCGCGUGAGGGAUGACGGUUUUCGGAUUGUAAACCUCUGUCCUCUGUGAAGAUAAUGACGGUAGCAGAGGAGGAAGCUCCGGCUAACUAUGUGCCAGCAGCCGCGGUAAUACAUAGGGAGCAAGCGUUGUCCGGAUUUACUGGGUGUAAAGGGUGCGUAGGCGGCUUUGUAAGUCAGAAGUGAAAUCUAUGGGCUCAACCCAUAAACUGCUUUUGAAGCUAUAGAGCUUGAGUGAUGUAGAGGUAGGUGGAAUUCCCGGUGUAGCGGUGGAAUGCGUAGAGAUCGGGAGGAACACCAGUGGCGAAGGCGACCUACUGGGCAUUAACUGACGCUGAGGCACGAAAGCGUGGGUAGCAAACAGGAUUAGAUACCCUGGUAGUCCACGCCGUAAACGAUGAUUACUAGGUGUGGGGGGACUGACCCCCUCCGUGCCGGAGUUAACACAAUAAGUAAUCCACCUGGGGAGUACGACCGCAAGGUUGAAACUCAAAGGAAUUGACGGGGGCCCGCACAGCAGUGAGUAUGUGGUUUAUUCGAGCACGCGAGACCUUACCAGGUCUGACAUCUACUAACGAAGCAGAGAUGCAUUAGUGCCCUUCGGGGAAAGUAGACAGUGUGCAUGCUGUCGUCAGCUCGUGUCGUGAGAUGUGGUAGUCCCGCACGAGCGCACCCUUGUCUUUAGUGCUACGCAGAGCACCUCUAAGAGACUGCGUGACAAACCGAGAAGGUGGGACCACUCAUCAUCACGGCCCAUAGACUGGCUAACACGGUACUACAAUGGCCGUUACGGAAGAGAGCCCAUACA